UCCUGAUAAAGGAGUCUUUUGCUUGUCCUAAAAGCACAGGUGAAUAAGGGGUGGGCAAGUCUGGUGUCAGCCGCCGCGGUAAUACCAGCACCUCGAGUGGUCAGGACGUUUAUUGGGCCUAAAGCAUCCGUAGCCGGCUCUGCAAGUCUUCGGUUAAAUCCAUCUGCUUAACAGAUGGGCUGCUGGAGAUACUACAGCGCUAGGGAGUGGGAGAGGCAGACGGUAUUCAGUGGGUAGGGGUAAAAUCCUCUGAUCCAUUGAGGACCACCAGUGGCGAAGGCGGUCUGCCAGAACACGUUCGACGGUGAGGGAUGAAAGCUGGGGGAGCAAACCGGAUUAGAUACCCCCGUAGUCC
RNAcentral lists this ribosomal RNA (355 nucleotides) under uncultured bacterium. RNAcentral describes it as "bacterial SSU rRNA". It matches the Rfam family "Archaeal small subunit ribosomal RNA", at positions 390 to 747 of the family's 1478-position model. The record is from RNAcentral.